This 450-nucleotide ribosomal RNA is filed under the name uncultured bacterium. Its description in RNAcentral is "bacterial SSU rRNA". It matches the Rfam family "Bacterial small subunit ribosomal RNA", at positions 355 to 825 of the family's 1533-position model. The record is from RNAcentral.
UCAAGAAACUUCCACAAUGGGCGAAAGCCUGAUGGAGCGACGUCGCGUGAUGGACGAAGUGCUUCGGCACGUAAACAUCUUUUAUGUGGGAUGAAAUUAUUGACAGUACCACAUGAAUAAGGGGCUCCUAACUCUGUGCCAGCAGGAGCGGUAAUACAGAGGCCCCAAGCGUUAUCCGGAAUCACUGGGCGUAAAGGGUGUCGAGGCGGUUGUAUUAGUCGUUCGUAAAAUCUACGAGCUUAACUUGUAGGCGGCGAACGAAACGGUACGACUUGAGGUUUGGAGAGGUGCGUGGAACUCACGGUGUAGGGGUGAAAUCCGUUGAUAUCGUGGGGAACACCAAAGGCGAAGGCAGCGCACUGGCCAAAAUCUGACGCUCACACACGAAAGCUAGGGUAGCGAAGAGGAUUAGAUACCCACGUAGUCCCUGAGCGGGCUGGCAAGGCGCAU